ACUCCUACGGGAGGCAGCAGUGGGAAUAUUGCACAAUGGGCGCAAGCCUGAUGCAGCGACGCCGCGUGGGGGAUGACGGCCUUCGGGUUGUAAACCUCUUUCAGUACCGACGAAGCGCAAGUGACGGUAGGUACAGAAGAAGCACCGGCCAACUACGUGCCAGCAGCCGCGGUAAUACGUAGGGUGCGAGCGUUGUCCGGAAUUACUGGGCGUAAAGAGCUCGUAGGUGGUUUGUCGCGUUGUCCGUGAAAUCCCACGGCUUAACUGUGGGCGUGCGGGCGAUACGGGCAGACUGGAGUACUGCAGGGGAGACUGGAAUUCCUGGUGUAGCGGUGGAAUGCGCAGAUAUCAGGAGGAACACCGGUGGCGAAGGCGGGUCUCUGGGCAGUAACUGACGCUGAGGAGCGAAAGCGUGGGGAGCGAACAGGAUUAGAUACCCUGUAGGCUCUG
RNAcentral lists this ribosomal RNA (450 nucleotides) under uncultured bacterium. RNAcentral's name for it is "bacterial SSU rRNA". It matches the Rfam family "Bacterial small subunit ribosomal RNA", at positions 335 to 798 of the family's 1533-position model. The record is from RNAcentral.